AGAGUUUGAUCAUGGCUCAGAUUGAACGCUGGCGGCAUGCUUUACACAUGCAAGUCGAACGGUAACGCGGGGGCAACCCUGGCGACGAGUGGCGAACGGGUGAGUAAUACAUCGGAACAUGUCCUGGAGUGGGGGAUAGCUCGGCGAAAGCCGGAUUAAUACCGCAUACGCUCUGAGGAGGAAAGCGGGGGACCUGGUAACGGGCCUCGCGCUGCAGGAGUGGCCGAUGUCGGAUUAGCUAGUUGGUGAGGUAAAGGCUCACCAAGGCGACGAUCCGUAGCUGGUCUGAGAGGAUGAUCAGCCACACUGGGACUGAGACACGGCCCAGACUCCUACGGGAGGCAGCAGUGGGGAAUUUUGGACAAUGGGGGCAACCCUGAUCCAGCCAUGCCGCGUGAGUGAAGAAGGCCUUCGGGUUGUAAAGCUCUUUCGGACGGAACGAAACGGUUAGCGUGAAUAUCGCUGACUAAUGACGGUACCG
RNAcentral lists this ribosomal RNA (481 nucleotides) under uncultured Denitratisoma sp. Its description in RNAcentral is "bacterial SSU rRNA". It matches the Rfam family "Bacterial small subunit ribosomal RNA", at positions 8 to 480 of the family's 1533-position model. Lineage: Bacteria; Pseudomonadati; Pseudomonadota; Betaproteobacteria; Nitrosomonadales; Sterolibacteriaceae. The record is from RNAcentral.